UACGGAGGGUGCAAGCGUUAUCCGGAUUCACUGGGUUUAAAGGGUGCGUAGGCGGUUUGUCGCGUCGGCUGUGAAAACUCGGGGCUCAACCCCGAGCCUGCAGUCGAUACGGGCAGACUAGAGUGCGGUAGGGGAGACUGGAAUUCCUGGUGUAGCGGUGAAAUGCGCAGAUAUCAGGAGGAACACCGGUGGCGAAGGCGGGUCUCUGGGCCGUAACUGACGCUGAGGAGCGAAAGCGUGGGGAGCAAACAGG
Molecule: ribosomal RNA, 253 nt
Filed under: uncultured bacterium
Lineage: Bacteria
Description: partial 16S ribosomal RNA
Rfam family: Bacterial small subunit ribosomal RNA
Source: RNAcentral